AUUGGUGUGGGUGUUUGAAAGAUUACGUUUCGAUGAACUCCCGACUACAGCUGUGGUAGUAAUGGCAACCAGCGACGACGGUAGCCGGCCUGAGAAGGGUGACGACACACUGGGAACUGAGACCCGUCAGACUCUACGGGAGGCAGCAGUGGGGAAUAUUGCACAAUGGCGCAAGCUGAUGCAGCGACGCGCGUGAGGGAUGACGCUUCGGGUUGUAAACCUCUUCAGUAGGGAAGAAGCGAAAGUGACGGUACCUGCAGAGAAGCACCGGCUACUACGUGGCAGCAGCCGCGGUAAUACGUAGGGUGCGAGCGUUAUCCGGAAUUAUUGGGCGUAAAGAGCUCGUAGGCGGUUUGUCGCGUCUGUCGUGAAAGUCCGGGGCUUAACCCCGGAUCUGCGGUGGGUACGGGCAGACUAGAGUGCAGUAGGGGAGACUGGAAUUCCUGGUGUAGCGGUGGAAUGCGCAGAUAUCAGGAGGAACACCGAUGGCGAAGGCAGGUCUCUGGGCUGUAACUGACGCUGAGGAGCGAAAGCAUGGGGAGCGAACAGGAUUAGAUACCCUGGUAGUCCAUGCCGUAAACGUUGGGCACUAGGUGUGGGGACCAUUCCACGGUUUCCGCGCCGCAGCUAACGCAUUAAGUGCCCCGCCUGGGGAGUACGGCCGCAAGGCUAAAACUCAAAGGAAUUGACGGGGGCCCGCACAAGCGGCGGAGCAUGCGGAUUAAUUCGAUGCAACGCGAAGAACCUUACCAAGGCUUGACAUGUUCUCGAUCGCCGUAGAGAUACGGUUUCCCCUUUGGGGCGGGUUCACAGGUGGUGCAUGGUUGUCGUCAGCUCGUGUCGUGAGAUGUUGGGUUAAGUCCCGCAACGAGCGCAACCCUCGUUCCAUGUUGCCAGCACGUAAUGGUGGGGACUCAUGGGAGACUGCCGGGGUCAACUCGGAGGAAGGUGAGGACGACGUCAAAUCAUCAUGCCCCUUAUGUCUUGGGCUUCACGCAUGCUACAAUGGCCGGUACAAUGGGUUGCGAUACUGUGAGGUGGAGCUAAUCCCAAAAAGCCGGUCUCAGUUCGGAUUGGGGUCUGCAACUCGACCCCAUGAAGUCGGAGUCGCUAGUAAUCGCAGAUCAGCAACGCUGCGGUGAAUACGUUCCCGGGCCUUGUACACACCGCCCGUCAAGUCACGAAAGUCUGGUAACACCCGAAGCCGGUGGCCUAUACCUAUUGUGGCAGAGCCGUCGAAGCUGAUCAUUCGUCUA
RNAcentral lists this ribosomal RNA (1256 nucleotides) under Micrococcus endophyticus. RNAcentral's name for it is "bacterial SSU rRNA". It matches the Rfam family "Bacterial small subunit ribosomal RNA", at positions 186 to 1474 of the family's 1533-position model. Lineage: Bacteria; Bacillati; Actinomycetota; Actinomycetes; Micrococcales; Micrococcaceae. The record is from RNAcentral.